Long non-coding RNA from Herpailurus yagouaroundi (jaguarundi), 513 nucleotides. RefSeq lists it as uncharacterized. The record is from RefSeq and is a predicted model, not a curated record. NCBI's taxonomy places the organism in Eukaryota, Metazoa, Chordata, Mammalia, Carnivora, Felidae. The transcript has 4 exons.
UCCUGCCAGGGUCUGAGAGCUGCCCCAGCGUCAGCAGAGGGUGGGGGCCCCUCACCAGGCCAGAGAAGAGGAUUUAUGCUUUGCGAUUGGAUUCUAAGCUUCAUUUUCCUGGAACCAAGUAGAAUUUGUCCGGACUUCUGACCCAAAUUGCUCCGGACAAGUGGGGACCACACCGCCUGCUGUAACCUCGUAAGGCUGGAGAAGUCUGAAGCCAGAAAGGGCCUGAGCAUCUUCUGCGAGGAAUCCAUCCAGCCCGCCAGAGACAACCUGCAGUCAGUCCCCCACUCCCUUGAGUGUUAAGUGUUCACCCUAAGUGCAAGUAGUUCCCAAGAGGUGAGAACAUGCUCCUGUCUCCAUUCCAACCCCACAUCUUGUCUGGUGAUGAUCUCAGAUGAUGCCCCCUCCCUAACUCAAGCCUAGUUCCUUGCCAGCCCACCAAUUCACUGCUAUGACAUGCAUCUGAUUCUUCAAAGGUAUGGAGAAAAGUCAUUUUGUAGAAGUUGUAAGAGGAAA